Molecule: ribosomal RNA, 246 nt
Filed under: uncultured bacterium
Lineage: Bacteria
Description: partial 16S ribosomal RNA
Rfam family: Bacterial small subunit ribosomal RNA
Source: RNAcentral
AGUAACAACGUAUCCAACCUGCCGAUAACUCGGGGAUAGCCUUUCGAAAGAAAGAUUAAUACCCGAUGGCAUAGUUCUUCCGCAUGGUGGAACUAUUAAAGAAUUUCGGUCAUCGAUGGGGAUGCGUUCCAUUAGGUUGUUGGCGGGGUAACGGCCCACCAAGCCUUCGAUGGAUAGGGGUUCUGAGAGGAAGGUCCCCCACAUUGGAACUGAGACACGGUCCAAACUCCUACGGGAGGCAGCAUG